RNAcentral lists this unclassified non-coding RNA (359 nucleotides) under uncultured fungus. RNAcentral describes it as "sequence contains ITS1". The stretch from base 1 to 107 matches the Rfam family "5.8S ribosomal RNA", at positions 50 to 154 of the family's 154-position model. Lineage: Eukaryota; Fungi. The record is from RNAcentral.
AAAAUGCGAUACCUGGUGUGAAUUGCAGAAUCCCGUGAACCAUCGAGUUUUUGAACGCAAGUUGCGCCCGAGGCCUUCCGGCCGAGGGCACGCCUGCCUGGGCGUCACGCCAAAAGACACUCCCCACCCACCCCGGUGUGGGACGUGGUGUUUGGCUCCCCGCGCCAUGAGGCGCGGUGGGCCGAAGUUGGGGCUGCCGGCGUACCGCGCCGGGCACAGCACGUGGUGGGCGACAUAAGUUGUUCUCGGUGCCGUGCCUCGGCGCGCAGCCGGCGCGAGGGCCCUUCCGACCCAUCGACCGUAGCGCACGACGCUCGGACCGCGACCCCAGGUCAGACGGGACUACCCGCUGAGUUUAA